ACAGCAAAUUUGUAUAAUCUGAAAGAUUUGGUCAUGUACCCUUAAAGUAACUCUCGAGUUCCUGAUUCAUCUUAAUCAAGCUAAACUCUCUUAUUUUAAGCUCCUGAUUAGUUGUUGAUUUACUUUUGUUGCGUUUUUGCCGCUUUGGAGUUUGUAUAAUCUGAAAGAUUUGCGUUUUUGUUGAUUUACAACUUGGUCCCUUCUUACUUCUUAGCUUCGAGACUCGAGAUUCUUAUGUGGUUUUUGUCUUCCCUUUUAGAUUCAUGUGCAAGAUUUCUUCUUCUAAAGCUUACAUGCGUGUUAUUUUUGUGUGAAACCAUAUUAUUAAGGCGGACAAGCAACUAGAUAAGGAGUUGAAUAUGACCACACCAUCCCCACGAUCAACAUCCUCCCAAGCAUCAACCACUCGUACCUAUGUUGUUACCGACAAGGAUCGUGAGAAGGUAACAUCUACUUGGAUGCGUGUUAUGAGAAAAAAAGCUAUGGGAAUGCAAAAGACAGGUGAUACCAUCUCCAUAACUAUCCCGGAAAGCGUGUUUCUUAACGAAAAUGGGUUGGAUGUUUCACUUGACUUUGAAGACUUGCUUGAUUGGUGUUUCCAAAGGGAGGUCGGAGAACCGCAAAUGAAGGUUUUCAUGAAGUAAGUUUCCAUAUAAUAUAGGUUCUAAUUUUAAUAUUGUUUUUUCGGCCCAUUAACUAAUAUUCAUAUGAAUUUUCAUGGGAAAAGACACCUAAAAGAACGUUGUCAAAAAGAAGGUGUAUCGGGAAUGUAUGGGUUCUGUGACUGUAAUGUUCUUUCACCAUUGACACCGACAACGGAUGAGCAAGUUCGAUCUGACUACUUAGCCCAUGUUUUUGGAACCAAUGAGGGGAAAAAUGUUAAUUAAUUAUUCUUUGCUCCUUAUAAUGACAAGUAAGUGUAGUUUCUUUUUAUUUUUUUUAUAGAUCUGAGUUAUGUUAAAUCCUCAAAUUUUAAUUAAUCCCAUUACUAUGUAUUUAUUUUACAAUAUGUCUAGUCUGCAUUGGACGUUAGCGGUGAUUAGUCCAUGGAAUGGGUUGGUGUAUUGGUUAGAUCCACUUGGAGCAGAAAACGAAAUCAACUCAUUUGCACAAAAAAUCAUCAAUGAGGGAAUAGUUAAAUUCAGCAUGAAGCAUCGAAAAGAUAUCAAGAAAAUAAAAAAGAAUCCAAAAAUAGGGUGGAAGCAACCACGUGUAAGUCAUUAUUAUUUUUAGCAUAUUUCAUACCUAGUAGUGUAAAAUCAGAUCCAAAACUGUGCUAAUGGUUAUUUUUUUUGUAUCAGUGUCCUCUACAAUCUACAUACACAAAGCAUUGUGGUUACUUUGUAUGUCGCUAUAUGCUGGACAUUAUACAGAACAGAGUAUUAUGGAUUUCUGAGCAGAUUUUUCCCAAAGAUCCUUGCACAUAUUCUUCAGAAGAAAUUGACGAGAUUAGAGACUUAUGGAUUCAAUAUGUUCUUGAUCAUGAGGAGCCGGAAGAACCUUAG
Long non-coding RNA from Chenopodium quinoa (quinoa), 1505 nucleotides. RefSeq lists it as uncharacterized. The transcript has 3 exons. The record is from RefSeq and is a predicted model, not a curated record. Lineage: Eukaryota; Viridiplantae; Streptophyta; Magnoliopsida; Caryophyllales; Amaranthaceae.